This 279-nucleotide ribosomal RNA is filed under the name uncultured bacterium. RNAcentral describes it as "partial 16S ribosomal RNA". It matches the Rfam family "Bacterial small subunit ribosomal RNA", at positions 506 to 784 of the family's 1533-position model. The record is from RNAcentral.
UGCCAGCAGCCGCGGUAAUACGAAGGUGGCGAGCGUUGUUCGGAUUUACUGGGCGUAAAGAGCACGUAGGCGGUUGGGUAAGCCUCUUGAGAAAGCUCCCGGCUUAACCGGGAAAGGUCGAGGGGAACUACUCAGCUAGAGGACGGGAGAGGAGCGCGGAAUUCCCGGUGUAGCGGUGAAAUGCGUAGAUAUCGGGAGGAACAUCAGUGGCGAAGGCGGCUCCCUGGCCAAAGACUGACGCUGAGAUGCGAAAGCGUGGGGAGCGAACAGGAUUAGAUA